CCUACGGGUGGCAGCAGUGAGGAAUAUUGGUCAAUGGGCGCGAGCCUGAACCAGCCAAGUAGCGUGAAGGAUGACUGCCCUACGGGUUGUAAACUUCUGUUAUAAAGGAAGAAAGUGAGGCACGUGUGCCUUUUUGUAUGUACUUUAUGAAUAAGGAUCGGCUAACUCCGUGCCAGCAGCCGCGGUAAUACGGAGGAUCCGCUCGUUAUCCGGAUUUAUGGGGUUUACAGGGAGCGUAGAUGGGUUGUUAAGUCAGUUGUGAAAGUUUGCGGCUCAACCGUAAAAUUGCAAUUGAUACUGGCAGUCUUGCGUACAGUUGCGGUAGGCGGCCUUCGUGGUGUAGCG
Molecule: ribosomal RNA, 345 nt
Filed under: uncultured bacterium
Lineage: Bacteria
Description: partial 16S ribosomal RNA
Rfam family: Bacterial small subunit ribosomal RNA
Source: RNAcentral